Ictidomys tridecemlineatus (thirteen-lined ground squirrel) is the source of this 845-nucleotide non-coding RNA. The record is from RefSeq and is a predicted model, not a curated record. NCBI's taxonomy places the organism in Eukaryota, Metazoa, Chordata, Mammalia, Rodentia, Sciuridae.
CCAGUGUGAUGUCACCUUGUCCCUGGAGCCAACCAAGGUUUGCACUGCUGAGUGCCCCUUACUUCUGUUUGAGCUCUUCUGGCUUUUUGCCUUCAAUAAUUCAUCUUUGAACUUCAAAAAGAGAGAUGUUUCAGUUGGGAACUACCACCUGUUUUUGAAAGGUAUGCAGAUCACAGCUAUGAGAAGCAGACCCACACUGUAUACCAAAGAGUUUUAUUCCGUCAUGAAGAAGAAUGAAAUUAUGUAAUUUGCAGGAAGAUUGAGGCAAAUGAAGACCAUGAUUUUGAGAGAGAUAAGUCAGACUCAGAAAAGUGUUGAAUGUUCUCUCUUCUAUGUAAAAGCAAGAGAGGAAAAACAGGAACCAAAAGAGAUUCCUUUGAAAUAAGAAGGGAGACUAUUAGGGAUUAGAAACUGAAGGCACAGAAAGAUUCAGAAGUUUGCCCAGGUUCUCAACAUUGAUUGGUUAUCCAUGGCAAACCAUAAAAGGUGAUAUUUUAAAAAGGUAAAGUUUUAGUACUGAAGAGAUUGCUUCUCUGGUUACAUUUCCAGUUAUUAUUACUUCAGAGAUCCUCGAGAGCCAUUAGCCCACCUCACAGUGAAAAGCAAGAAGAAAACACACAACUGUCCAUUAGUGGCCAGAGUGAUUUUCAAUAUUCAGAUGCAGCAGAGACCCGGUGGCAGAUGGAAGAGCUUCAGGCAACAGUUGCUAUACACGUUCUCCUAUCCACACCUCCAUCUGUCAGCACAAGUGUGUUACUAUUUUGGGACUCAAUUUAUCCAUUUGGAGAACAAUUUUCAGGCUUGUUCUUAAGGUUAAAAUGAAAUAAAUUAAAUCUGUAACUCAC